RNAcentral lists this small RNA (123 nucleotides) under Marmota monax (woodchuck). The record is from RNAcentral. Lineage: Eukaryota; Metazoa; Chordata; Mammalia; Rodentia; Sciuridae.
GCUGGGCAUGGUAACAAGUGCCUGUAAUCCCAGCCACUCUGGGGGCUGAGGCAGGAGGAUCACAAGUUGGAGGCCUCCCCAAUUUCAUGAGGUCCUAAGCAAUUUAAUGAGACCCUGUUUCAU